AUACAUAGGGGGCGAGCGUUAUCCGGAUUUAUUGGGUUUAAAGGGAGCGUAGGUGGGAUAUUAAGUCAGCUGUGAAAGUUUGGGGCUCAACCUUAAAAUUGCAGUUGAUACUGGUUUCCUUGAGUACGGUACAGGUGGGCGGAAUUCGUGGUGUAGCGGUGAAAUGCUUAGAUAUCACGAAGAACUCCGAUCGCGAAGGCAGCUCACCGGGCCGGAACUGACACUGAUGCUCGAAAGUGCGGGUAUCAAACAGGAUUAGAUACCCUGGUAGUCCGCACAGUAAACGAUGAAUACUCGCUGUUUGCGAUACACAGUAAGCGGCCAAGCGAAAGCGUUAAGUAUUCCACCUGGGGAGUACGCCGGCAACGGUGAAACUCAAAUGAAUUGGCGGGG
RNAcentral lists this ribosomal RNA (393 nucleotides) under uncultured bacterium. RNAcentral's name for it is "partial 16S ribosomal RNA". It matches the Rfam family "Bacterial small subunit ribosomal RNA", at positions 523 to 918 of the family's 1533-position model. The record is from RNAcentral.